Trichomonas vaginalis G3 is the source of this 140-nucleotide non-coding RNA. NCBI's taxonomy places the organism in Eukaryota, Parabasalia, Trichomonadida, Trichomonadidae. The record is from Rfam.
ACCGCCCGUCGCUCCUACCGAUUGGAUGACUCGGUGAAAUCACCGGAUGCUUACGAGCAGAAAGUGAUUAAAUCACGUUAUCUAGAGGAAGGAGAAGUCGUAACAAGGUAACGGUAGGUGAACCUGCCGUUGGAUCAGUU